Molecule: unclassified non-coding RNA, 273 nt
Filed under: rhizosphere metagenome
Description: partial ribosomal RNA internal transcribed spacer region
Source: RNAcentral
GUAGGUGAACCUGCGGAAGGAUCAUUAUCGAAAUUCGAGGGGAAGGGUGGGACUGUCGCUGGCUUCCGCUCGGGAGGCAUGUGCACGUCCGUCCUUUCUCUUGCUCUCACACCUGUGCACACAUUGUAGGUCCUCGAAAGAGGAUCUAUGUUUCAAUCAUCACACAACAACGUAUGUCUAGAAUGUAUCGAGAUCGUCGACCGACCUCGCGGUCGGGUGGCGGUCGAAAAAAAAAAACAAAUACAACUUUCAGCAACGGAUCUCUUGGCUCUC